This is a non-coding RNA of Pelobates cultripes (western spadefoot toad), 242 nucleotides long. The record is from the annotation of a GenBank genome assembly. NCBI's taxonomy places the organism in Eukaryota, Metazoa, Chordata, Amphibia, Anura, Pelobatidae.
AUUUCUCGAGUGUGGUUCUUAGUUUUUGUAUGACCGGGUAAUGGUUUUCCCGUAUGGUGGUCUGAGUGGACUUCGUGAGUUUGAUCCCCAAGUAUUGUAAGGAGGUUUUACGCCAGUCAAAAGUGUGUUGUGCUUGUAGCGUCGUGACGAUAGUGCUCGACAAGUUUAUAGGCAAUGCUUGUGUCUUCAUUGUGUUGUUCCUAUAUUAAGAAACCCAUCCAUAUGUGUCGAGCCUGUGUAUG